RNAcentral lists this transfer RNA (95 nucleotides) under Brevibacterium iodinum. Its description in RNAcentral is "tRNA-Lys(ttt)". The record is from RNAcentral. Lineage: Bacteria; Bacillati; Actinomycetota; Actinomycetes; Micrococcales; Brevibacteriaceae.
UCCGUCGUACGAGACGUGGUGCAGAUCAAGACUUUUUGUGUCUUCCAAUCGCAAUCCGCAUACCUGGCAGGCUGGUUCGAAUCCGGCUGACCGGC